UGCGAACUCCUACGGGAGGCAGCAGUGGGGAAUAUUGCACAAUGGGCGAAAGCCUGAUGCAGCGACGCCGCGUGAGGGAUGAAGGCCUUCGGGUUGUAAACCUCUUUCGCUCAUGGUCAAGCCGCAGCUUUGGGUUGUGGUGAGGGUAGUGGGUAAAGAAGCACCGGCUAACUACGUGCCAGCAGCCGCGGUAAUACGUAGGGUGCGAGCGUUGUCCGGAAUUAUUGGGCGUAAAGGGCUUGUAGGCGGUUUGUCGCGUCUGCCGUGAAAUCCUCUGGCUUAACUGGGGGCGUGCGGUGGGUACGGGCAGACUUGAGUGCGGUAGGGGAGACUGGAACUCCUGGUGUAGCGGUGGAAUGCGCAGAUAUCAGGAAGAACACCGGUGGCGAAGGCGGGUCUCUGGGCCGUUACUGACGCUGAGGAGCGAAAGCGUGGGGAGCGAACAGGAUUAGAUACCCCUGUAGUCCUAUC
Molecule: ribosomal RNA, 471 nt
Filed under: uncultured bacterium
Lineage: Bacteria
Description: bacterial SSU rRNA
Rfam family: Bacterial small subunit ribosomal RNA
Source: RNAcentral